GACGGAGGGUGCUAGCGUUGUUCGGAAUGACUGGGCGUAAAGGGCGCGUAGGCGGCCGCUUGCGUCGGAUGUGAAAGCCCGGGGCUCAACCCCGGAACGGCAUCCGAUACGGGGCGGCUCGAGACCGAGAGAGGUGAGUGGAAUACCCAGUGUAGAGGUGAAAUUCGUAGAUAUUGGGUGGAACACCGGUGGCGAAAGCGGCUCACUGGCUCGGUUCUGACGCUGGGGCGCGAAAGCGUGGGGAGCAAACAGG
This 253-nucleotide ribosomal RNA is filed under the name uncultured bacterium. RNAcentral describes it as "partial 16S ribosomal RNA". It matches the Rfam family "Bacterial small subunit ribosomal RNA", at positions 524 to 776 of the family's 1533-position model. The record is from RNAcentral.